This 105-nucleotide ribosomal RNA is filed under the name uncultured bacterium. Its description in RNAcentral is "partial 16S ribosomal RNA". It matches the Rfam family "Bacterial small subunit ribosomal RNA", at positions 290 to 392 of the family's 1533-position model. The record is from RNAcentral.
ASUUGAGAGACNUGAUCGGCCACAUUGGGACUGAGACACGGCCCAAACUCCUACGGGAGGCAGCAGUAGGGAAUCUUCCACAAUGGACGCAAGUCUGAUGGAGCA